CGAAGGUCCCAAGCGUUAUUCGGAAUCACGUGGGCGUAAAGGGUGCGUAGGUGGUGAGGAAAGUCAGAUGUGAAAGCCCCGGGCUCAACCUGGGAACUGCAUCCGAUACUCCCUCACUAGAGGAUUGGAGAGGAGUCUGGAAUUCACGGUGUAGCAGUGAAAUGCGUGGAUAUCGUGAGGAACACUCGUGGCGAAAGCGAGACUCUGGACAAUUCCUGACACUGAUGCACGAAGGCCGGGGGAGCGAACAGGAUUAGAUACCCUGGUAGUCCCGGCAGUAAACGGUGCACGUUUGGUAUGGGGGGGCUGGACCCCCUCCGUGCCGGAGCUAACGCGUUAAACGUGCCGCCUGGGAAGUACGGUCGCAAGAUUA
This 373-nucleotide ribosomal RNA is filed under the name uncultured organism. Its description in RNAcentral is "bacterial SSU rRNA". It matches the Rfam family "Bacterial small subunit ribosomal RNA", at positions 526 to 896 of the family's 1533-position model. The record is from RNAcentral.